AGCAGAAGCUUUGAUCCACGUGUGUUUCAAUUCCCAUGAGAAACCCAUUUAUCACGUGGAAAGCGUGGAGAAUGUGCUGCAACAAGGGGAAGCCACGGUUGACUGUUUUGCACAUGGAAAAUGUGGAAAACGUGGCAGCUGGAUUGUAGAAAACAUGCUUCAAAUAAGCUACAUGGUUGGCUGCACAAUGCACUCCUACUUGCCUCCUUUGUGCUUCCUUGAUUGGNAAUCUUCCUAGGAUGUGUAGGCAUAGUUUCCUACUUUUAUUUGUAUCCUACAAAACAAUGUAAAUGGAUUAGAGAAUCUAUCUAAGACUUUAGAUAAGGAAAGUGUUUUGGAAAUCUUUUAUUGUACUUCCCUUUCUUUAGUCUUAGUUGUAGUUGAUGCUUCUUGGAUGG
Molecule: long non-coding RNA, 398 nt
Filed under: Vigna radiata
Lineage: Eukaryota; Viridiplantae; Streptophyta; Magnoliopsida; Fabales; Fabaceae
Description: long non-coding RNA (VRAD_LNC005112)
Source: RNAcentral